Molecule: ribosomal RNA, 324 nt
Filed under: uncultured eukaryote
Lineage: Eukaryota
Description: partial 18S ribosomal RNA
Rfam family: Eukaryotic small subunit ribosomal RNA
Source: RNAcentral
CCCUUAGAUGUUCUGGGCCGCACGCGCGCUACACUGAUGCAUUCAACGAGUUUCUUCCUGGUCCGAGAGGAAUGGGUAACCUUUUGAAAGUGCAUCGUGAUAGGGAUAGACUAUUGCAAUUAUUGGUCUUCAACGAGGAAUUCCUAGUAGACGUAGUUCAUCAGACUGCAUCGAUUACGUCCCUGCCCUUUGUACACACCGCCCGUCGCUCCUACCAAUUGAAUGCUCAGGUGAGCCAUUCGGACUUUCAUCAUGCUGGUUUCCAGUUUUGAUGAAGGAAAGUCUUGCGAACCUUAUCAUUUAGAGGAAGGAGAAGUCGUAACA